AUUUAUUUGAUAAAUAUUCUUACCAUAACUUUAUUGUUAGAUCCAAUUCUCACUAUUAACUAAAUAUAUAGUUCAUUGAUGAAACUCUAGAUGGCGCAGACAAUGGGUUAUUAACAUAAACAGUGAUAUUCAGAGAGUUAAAGACUAGGCACAAGUGAUUGGUUCAUGCUGCAUAUGCAGCCAAUGAGCUUACUGCCUUUCAUUUAUAGAUUCCUGCAGCGCACUUUCAGAGUUUCUCUGAAACCCUCAACCUUCCCCAGCUUCACCCUUGUUUAGAUCUACUAUGGGUUAUUUUAUAUGCUAUUUGUGCAGAAGCAGUAUGUCUUAAAUGCUCAUGGCACUGUAUCGCCAUUUGCAUUGGCAGGAACAAGUCCCUGGACUUUCUUGCAGCAGCAGCAGCAGUAAUCUACAACUACAUCAAUACACUGAAAAAAAGGAAAAGCAGUUUUACUGAAUUUACUAAAAGGAUACACUUACAAUCUACUUAAUACAUUUAUGUUUAAGAUGGAAACAUAAUUGUAUUGUUUUAAUUCUAAAUGAAAUUCAACAUAAUCAUCAAAACAUGAUAUAAUCACUUUGCAAGAAAAUGUUCAAAUUGUUUCAGAUGUCAAACAAAUGGUGUUCAUGUAAAAUGAUUUUUUUCUGCUGUUUGAUUUAUUUAAUUAAAAUAGGCCCAUGUCACACAAUUACUUUGUAUUUUCUUCUCAACUUAAUUCCAUUGUGUAGGCUAUAAUUAAUUUAAUUCAGGUUUGUGAAAUACGUCGUUUGCGCGGGAGCAACGCGCGCGAGAGCGUCUGCGCAUGCGCUUUGAAAUCCAGACCACACCAGGACCGUUGGUUUGGAAAGGACACAUGAGGGUACUGCCUGUCUUGUUUUCAGAGCUCGUUAAAAGUGACAUUUGCUGUACAUUUGGAAUUCCAAAGCCUGUUCAGACAAAUUACGAGCUAAGUCAGUCCCCAACAAAGGCAGUUAGCCUUGUAGAAGUCGGUGAAUUAACUGAUGAAUACCCCUUGGCUGACUAUUUGAUUGGACAUGUGCAGAUGGUAACGUUAAAGAGAUUUUUCUGCUGCAAAGGAUGACAUUGAUGCAGCUUGUGAACUUGCCAUCAGAGGACUGUGUAUCUAUCUUAAUGAGGACUCUAAAGAUCUCAUUCAGGAGUAUGCGGACAUGGAAGAAGAUCUUUUACAGUGUGCGAUUGAGAAGACUACCAUGGGCAUCUUCGUGAUAAAGCACACUGCAGACAAUGAAGCCCAUGAUGUAGGCAUUGUGCUAGAGGGUGUAGCAGUGCUUCAGGACAUCGACAGUGUGGAUUUUGCAACUUCAAUGUUUUUGGUCUAAUUUAUGCUCUUAACCUGCAGUACCCCACAAAGUUGCGUUUUACAUAUGAAAUUUAGCAAAAACUCAUCAUGGACUUGGAUGCGGGUGAAUUCUCGAUCAAGGCCCAAAAUUUCAAAUCUGAACUCCACCAGUGAGAUGGACUGAUUUUUGAAUGACUACUGAGACUACAAACAAUCAACCUCGGAAAAUUUCAGCAGCCUUCAUGCAAGACCACUGCAGAGGGUAAACCGUGAUCUUGUUGUUUAGACUGUUCCCCUUUGCCUGCUCUCGUUUCUUUAUCUUUUUUUUUCUGUCUGAAUUUGGCCCUUCGUUGGACUGGCUCAGAAGUUGAUUGAUUAGAGAGCUGAAUCUAUGAAACAUGGUUGAACUAGCAUAAAUAAGAUACUUUGUUUAUAGUUUAGGUAAGGGUCAGAUACUGUAUUUUCACAUUGUUUUGUAAUGUCUAUAUAUAAUUAUCUUUGAAACUAAAGCGUUUUUCUUGAAAUAACAUUUCCAGGUAGGGCUGCACGAUAUUGGGAAAAAAUGACAUUGCGAUAUUUUAUU
Long non-coding RNA from Carassius auratus (goldfish), 1881 nucleotides. RefSeq lists it as uncharacterized. NCBI's taxonomy places the organism in Eukaryota, Metazoa, Chordata, Actinopteri, Cypriniformes, Cyprinidae. The transcript has 4 exons. The record is from RefSeq and is a predicted model, not a curated record.